This 119-nucleotide ribosomal RNA is filed under the name Triticum aestivum (bread wheat). Lineage: Eukaryota; Viridiplantae; Streptophyta; Magnoliopsida; Poales; Poaceae. RNAcentral also lists the same sequence under 1 other name. The record is from RNAcentral.
GGAUGCGAUAAUACCAGCACUAAAGCACCGGAUCCCAUCAGAACUCCGAAGUUAAGCGUGCUUGGGCGAGAGUAGUACUAGGAUGGGUGACCUCCUGGGAAGUCCUCGUGUUGCAUUCC